This 253-nucleotide ribosomal RNA is filed under the name uncultured bacterium. RNAcentral's name for it is "partial 16S ribosomal RNA". It matches the Rfam family "Bacterial small subunit ribosomal RNA", at positions 524 to 776 of the family's 1533-position model. The record is from RNAcentral.
UACGUAGGUGGCAAGCGUUGUCCGGAUUUACUGGGCGUAAAGCGCGCGCAGGCGGUCGAUUUAGUCGCGUGUGAAAGCCCCCGGCUCAACUGGGGAGGGUCACGCGAUACUGAUCGACUCGAAGGCAGGAGAGGGUAGUGGAAUUCCCGGUGUAGUGGUGAAAUGCGUAGAUAUCGGGAGGAACACCAGUGGCGAAGGCGACUACCUGGCCUGUUCUUGACGCUGAGGCGCGAAAGCUAGGGGAGCGAACGGG